Long non-coding RNA from Hevea brasiliensis (rubber tree), 337 nucleotides. RefSeq lists it as uncharacterized. The record is from RefSeq and is a predicted model, not a curated record. NCBI's taxonomy places the organism in Eukaryota, Viridiplantae, Streptophyta, Magnoliopsida, Malpighiales, Euphorbiaceae. The transcript has 2 exons.
AAUAUGAUUGUCAGGUGAGCCGGGACAGCCUUCUUCCUCCGCCCAGCCGCCACAGUGAUUGUCGUCAAGUCUGCCACAGGAGGAUAUUUUUGAGGUUAACCUGCUCCCUUUCCUCGCAGGUUGUUUAUCAAUGUUUGUGUAAUUUUAUUAACUCCUAGAAUUUUCGCAUGUGUUAGAAGUAUUUAUUUGAUUAUGGUCUGUAAUAUUAUUAUCAUGUUGGACCUGUAAACGUAUAAUGAUAUGCAUGUUUGAUGGAUUGGAUGAGGGAGCUGAGCUCCCAUUUAUUAUUAUGUUGAUGAGUAUGUGGAGGGUGAGCUGAGCUCCCCAAUUGACUAUA